ACGGAAGGCAGCAGUCGGGAGUAUUGCACAAUGGGGGAAACCCUGAUGCAGCGACACCGCGUAAAGGAAGAAGGUCUUCGGAUUGUAAACUUUUGUCGACAGGGAAGAAAGAUGACAGUACCUGUGGAGGAAGCCCCGGCUAACUACGUGCCAGCAGCCGCGGUAAUACGUAGGGGGCGAGCGUUAUCCGGAGUUACUGGGUGUAAAGGGCGUGUAGACGGGAACUUAAGUCUGAUGUGAAAUACCAAGGCUCAACUUUGGAACUGCAUCGGAAACUGGGUACCUAGAGUGCAGGAGAGGAAAGCGGAAUUCUCAGUGUAGCGGUGAAAUGCGUAGAUAUUGAGAGGAACACCGGUGGCGAAGGCGGCUUUCUGGACUGUAACUGACGUUGAGGCGCGAAAGCGUGGGGAGCAAACAGGAUUAGAUACCCUGGUA
RNAcentral lists this ribosomal RNA (435 nucleotides) under uncultured Oscillospiraceae bacterium. RNAcentral describes it as "partial 16S ribosomal RNA". It matches the Rfam family "Bacterial small subunit ribosomal RNA", at positions 341 to 792 of the family's 1533-position model. The record is from RNAcentral. Lineage: Bacteria; Bacillati; Bacillota; Clostridia; Eubacteriales; Oscillospiraceae.